Molecule: ribosomal RNA, 253 nt
Filed under: uncultured bacterium
Lineage: Bacteria
Description: partial 16S ribosomal RNA
Rfam family: Bacterial small subunit ribosomal RNA
Source: RNAcentral
UACGUAGGGUGCAAGCGUUGUCCGGAAUUAUUGGGCGUAAAGAGCUCGUAGGCGGUUUGUCGCGUCGAAUGUGAAAUCCCGGGGCUCAACCCCGGGCCUGCAUUCGAUACGGGUGGGCUAGAGUUCGGUAGGGGAGACUGGAAUUCCUGGUGUAGCGGUGAAAUGCGCAGAUAUCAGGAGGAACACCGGUGGCGAAGGCGGGUCUCUGGGCCGAUACUGACGCUGAGGAGCGAAAGCCAGGGGAGCAAACGGG